This 1433-nucleotide long non-coding RNA is filed under the name Papio anubis (olive baboon). Its description in RNAcentral is "lncRNA (ENSPANG00000051107.1)". The record is from RNAcentral. Lineage: Eukaryota; Metazoa; Chordata; Mammalia; Primates; Cercopithecidae.
CGAAACUGCAAGGGAAACUGGGGGCAGCAGAGCGACCUGCGAACGUCUGGGGGAGGGACCCGGACACCCCGCCCUCCUCCCUGCAGAGCUCUGCUGGCCCUGUGGGAUCCAUGGAGACCCUGGCUCCGGUUUCACAGGAAGGGAAGAACGGUUCUUCUCAGGCCACUGAUUUGUGGAAGACAGCAGGCCAGCAGUCCCGUAGAAUGUUCCAGGCUGAGUGACUGCCUGUCCUGGAGGCCUCCUCAGAAGCCUCAUACCUGGCUCUCCGAUGGAGCCCACGGCUCUUCUGUUCUUCCUCCCUGUGGUUCCUGGGCCUGGAGUGCGGGCUGGACAGGGCAAGGCCUGAAUUGUGUUCAUUAAGAGCAAGAAGAUAAACUCACGGUUACCACAGGGAUGUUCUGUUUGUGCCCCUGCUAGGGGCUUGCUUGGCUUUCAAAACCUUUCAUGUGCCCCGAAUGCUACAAACCCUUGUAAUAAAUGCAAAGUGUAUAUAGCUUCUGCUACUUAUGAGAGGCAUCGAGGGAGUUAAGCACGGUGGCUUUUGUGUCUGCAGAUUUGAGCUGAAAUUCCAGUUCUGCAGCAUAGGGCUUAACAGGUUCACUCCCCUUCCCCAUCCUCUCAUCCCCUAGGGCUCUCUCUUCCUUCCACCUGGAUAGAUGCCCUUCUCAUCUUCACACAGCAGAACACUGCUUGUUCUGAGAGCUCGCUCUGCUGAUUCUUUUUCCAUGAGUCAGAAAGCCCACUUCGCUUAUAGGAGGAGAACAUGGAUUUAAAAUCAGACAACUCUGGGUUCAUCCCGUCCUUUUCCUAGCUAGACAAUGGUUGGAGCUUCUCAGUUUCCUUGGGAAAAAAAGGGAUAAUGAUAUUCCUACCUUUUAAGGUUAUUGCAGACAUUAGGAAAAUAGAAACAGAAAGUUAUUUGUAGAGAUUUGAUGAGUAGCAAGUGCUCAGUAAUAAUGAGGCAAUUCUUGACUGUGUCUGAGUGAGUCUGUGAGUGCAUAUGAGUGUGUGAGAGAGAAUGUGUGUACAUGAGUGUCAUGCAUGCUCACACAUGUGUCUGGUGAAGGGCAGAUAUUCAUAUAGCUGCUCAGGUUGGUGGAAAUAAUUUCUUUUUAGUCUUAUUCUAUCGUUCCUCCCAGGACUGAGUUUCUGGCCUGUCUCACUUUUGAUGUGUAAUAUUGCUGGUGGUUAAGAGUGCCUUCUCUCUCCCCCACUCUACAGAUAUUCAGAAGUAACUGUGAAGUAAUUGUGAAUGGGAUCCAUGUCUAUUUGGUAUGUUUCUCUCCUGAGCAUCUGUUGCCAGUGUAAUUUCAUGACAAUCAUCAAUAUGUAUUGAAUAAAACAAUGGGUAUGUGAGUGGCUGCAGUAUCCCCAAGUCAUUUUGAACUGUGAUUUUUACAUGCCAAGGCCAUCGUUUGAAAAUAUUUAUGUGU